Molecule: ribosomal RNA, 253 nt
Filed under: uncultured bacterium
Lineage: Bacteria
Description: partial 16S ribosomal RNA
Rfam family: Bacterial small subunit ribosomal RNA
Source: RNAcentral
UACAGAGGUCUCAAGCGUUGUUCGGAUUCAUUGGGCGUAAAGGGUGUGUAGGUGGCGCGCUAAGUCGGGUGUGAAAUUUCGGAGCUUAACUCUGAAACUGCAUUCGAUACUGGCGUGCUUGAGGACUGGAGAGGAGACUGGAAUUCAUGGUGUAGCAGUAAAAUGCGUAGAGAUCAUGAGGAAGACCAGUGGCGAAGGCGGGUCUCUGGACAGUUCCUGACACUGAGACACGAAGGCCAGGGGAGCAAACGGG